Molecule: ribosomal RNA, 429 nt
Filed under: uncultured bacterium
Lineage: Bacteria
Description: bacterial SSU rRNA
Rfam family: Bacterial small subunit ribosomal RNA
Source: RNAcentral
GUGGGGAAUAUUGGACAAUGGGGGAAACCCUGAUCCAGCAACGCCGUGUGAGUGACGAAGGUCUUCGGAUCGUAAAGCUCUGUCAGUAGGGAAGAAAGCAGCAAGCAUCAGAUCCUUGCUGUAGACGGUACCUAAAAAGGAAGCACCGGCUAACUCCGUGCCAGCAGCCGCGGUAAUACGGAGGGUGCAAGCGUUGUUCGAAAUUACUGGGCGUAAAGCGCACGCAGGUGGUGAGGAAAGUCCUGUGUGAAAGCCUCAGGCUUAACCUGAGAAGGUCACAGGAAACUGCCUCGCUGGAGUCCGAGAGGGGAGAGCGGAAUUCCCAGUGUAGAGGUGAAAUUCGUAGAUAUUGGGAGGAACACCGGAGGCGAAGGCGGCUCUCUGGCUCGGUACUGACACUCAUGUGCGAAAGCGUGGGGAGCAAACAGG